UUGUCUCAAAGAUUAAGCCAUGCAUGUCUCAGUACAAGCCAUAUUAAGGUGAAACCGCGAAAGGCUCAUUAAAUCAGUUAUGGUUCCUUAGAUCGUACCCACAUUUACUUGGAUAACUGUGGUAAUUCUAGAGCUAAUACAUGCAAACAGAGCUCCGACCGGAGACGGAAGGAGCGCUUUUAUUAGAUCAAAACCAAUCGGUGGCGGGUUCGCGCUCGUCAUCGUACAACUUGGUGACUCUGAAUAACUUUACGCUGAUCGCAUGGUCUCGCACCGGCGACGCAUCUUUCAAAUGUCUGCCUUAUCAACUGUCGAUGGUAGGUUCUGCGCCUACCAUGGUUGUAACGGGUAACGGGGAAUCAGGGUUCGAUUCCGGAGAGGGAGCCUGAGAAACGGCUACCACAUCCAAGGAAGGCAGCAGGCGCGCAAAUUACCCACUCCCGGCACGGGGAGGUAGUGACGAAAAAUAACGAUACGGGACUCUUCCGAGGCCCCGUAAUCGGAAUGAGUACACUCUAAACCCUUUAACGAGGAUCAAUUGGAGGGCAAGUCUGGUGCCAGCAGCCGCGGUAAUUCCAGCUCCAAUAGCGUAUAUUAAAGUU
RNAcentral lists this ribosomal RNA (602 nucleotides) under Bruchidius raddianae. Its description in RNAcentral is "SSU rRNA". It matches the Rfam family "Eukaryotic small subunit ribosomal RNA", at positions 32 to 611 of the family's 1831-position model. The record is from RNAcentral. Lineage: Eukaryota; Metazoa; Arthropoda; Insecta; Coleoptera; Chrysomelidae.